UACAGAGGGUGCUAGCGUUGUUCGGAAUCAUUGGGCGUAAAGGGCGUGUAGGCGGUUUGUUAAGUCAUGUGUGAAAUCCCUCGGCUCAACCGGGGAACGACGCAUGAAACUGGCAAGCUAGAGUACCAAAGAGGGGGGUGGAAUUCCCGGUGUAGCGGUGAAAUGCGUAGAUAUCAGGAGGAACACCGAUGGCGAAGGCAGGUCUCUGGGCUGACACUGACGCUCAUGCACGAAAGCGUGGGGAGCGAACAGG
RNAcentral lists this ribosomal RNA (253 nucleotides) under uncultured bacterium. RNAcentral's name for it is "partial 16S ribosomal RNA". It matches the Rfam family "Bacterial small subunit ribosomal RNA", at positions 524 to 776 of the family's 1533-position model. The record is from RNAcentral.